AUUGGAAGUAAAAGUCGUAACAAGGUUUCCGUAGGUGAACCUGCGGAAGGAUCAUUAGUGAAUUUUAGGGCGUCUACUUGUAGAGCCUGACCCUCCACUUCUAACACUGUGCAUUAUUCGGUCAUUUGGCGACGUACCUUCGGGUGUCGAGCUGUUUGGCUAAUUUUACCAUUAAACAUUAGUACCAGUAUGUAACGAAAUAUCGAAACAAAAAAAAACUUUCAACAACGGAUCUCUUGGCUCUCGCAUCGAUGAAGAACGCAGCGAAAUGUGAUAAGUAAUGUGAAUUGCAGAAUUCAGUGAAUCAUCGAAUCUUUGAACGCACCUUGCGCUCCCUGGUAUUCCGGGGAGCAUGCCUGUUUGAGUGUCAUGAACUCUUCAACCCACCAGUUUCUAGUAGACUGUGUGAUGUUUGGAUCUUGAGCGUUGCUAGUCUGACUAGCUCGUUCGUAAUAUAUUAGCAUCUCUAAUUCGACUUCGGAUUGACUCAGUGUAAUAGGACUAUUCGCUGAGGACACUUUUAUUAGUGGCCGUAUGAGAACCAGUAGAAGCUUCCAACUACUUAGUCAACUUUGAUUUAGACCUCAGAUCAGGCAG
RNAcentral lists this ribosomal RNA (597 nucleotides) under uncultured fungus. RNAcentral's name for it is "eukaryotic LSU rRNA". The stretch from base 217 to 370 matches the Rfam family "5.8S ribosomal RNA". Lineage: Eukaryota; Fungi. The record is from RNAcentral.